UUGUAGUGUUGACCACGGGAACCUCCGU
RNAcentral lists this small RNA (28 nucleotides) under Bombyx mori (domestic silkworm). RNAcentral's name for it is "ovarian small RNA-38082". The record is from RNAcentral. Lineage: Eukaryota; Metazoa; Arthropoda; Insecta; Lepidoptera; Bombycidae.